This is a non-coding RNA of Podarcis lilfordi (Lilford's wall lizard), 97 nucleotides long. The record is from the annotation of a GenBank genome assembly. NCBI's taxonomy places the organism in Eukaryota, Metazoa, Chordata, Lepidosauria, Squamata, Lacertidae.
UUUGUCUCUGUGUGAUGAAGUCAUUUCUUCCAUCUGUUGGUAGAGCAUGAGACUCUUAAUCUCAGGGUUGUGAGUUCGAGCCCCACGUUGGGGAAAA